ACCUAGAAACACAUAUUUGACAAGGCUUUCAUAGGAGUUGUGGGCAUUUCCAGGGGUAGUUUCAUGACCCUGGUGGUAGUUUGACCCUUCUUCUGUACCGUGAACCUAAAGAAACACAUAUUUGACAAGGCUUUCAUGGGAGUUGUGGGCAUUUCCAGGGGUAGUUUCAUGACCCUGGUGGUAGUGUGACCCUUCUUCUGUACCGUGAACCUAGAAACACAUAUUUGACAAGGCUUUCGUAGGAGUUGUGGGCAUUUCCAGGAGUAGUUUUAUGACCCUGGUGGUAGUCUGGCCCUUCCUCUGUACCGUGAACCUGAAGAAACACUCAUUAUAAUCGGCCUGACCCUUUCUUUGACCUUUAGAAACAGCUGAUGUGAGAAACGAAAAUGUCUUACAAUACAGGAAAUUCGUAAGCUCCCUAACCAAGCACAAAACACGAUAAAAUUCCUUGCAAAUUCCUAGUUUUUGGCGUUGAUAUAAAAAGAAGAGAGAGAGAGAGAGAGAGAGAGAGAGAGAGAGAGAGAGAGAGAGAGAGAGAGAGAGAGAGAGAGAGAGAGAGAGAGAGAGAGAGAGAGGGCAGUAAAUAUGCAUGAUUAAAAGUGUCCCUAUCCGUUAUUGAAGAGUAUAAUGUUUGUAUUUAUUUUUUGUCGUGUUACAGUUUCCUUGAGAACCAUUGUGUGUGUGAGGUCAUGUGGGGCUAAGAUCUGAAAUGCAGGAGUGUAUACAUAGGCCUACCUUGUUUACAUAGGCCCUGCUUGUUUACAUCGGUCCUGGUUGAAUACAUAGGCCCUGGUUGUCUACAUUGGUUCUGGUUGUCUAAAUAGGCCUUGGUUGUCUGCUCAUAAGUCCUGGUUGAAUACAUAGGCCCUGGUUGUCUACAUAGGUUCUGGUUGUCGAAAUAGGCCUUGGUUGUCUGCUCAUAGGUCCUGGUUGAAUACAUAGGCCCUGGUUGUCUACAUAGGUUCUGGUUGUCUAAAUAGGCCUUGGUUGUCUACUCAUAAGUCCUGGUUGAAUACAUAGGCCCUGGUUGUCUACAUAGGUUCUGGUUGUCUAAAUAGGCCUUGGUUGUCUACUCAUAAGUCCUGGUUGAAUACAUAGGCCCUGGUUGUCUAAAUAGGCCUUGGUUGUCUGCUCAUAGGCCCUGGUUGAAUACAUAGGCCCUGGUUGUUUACAUAGGCCCUGGUUGUCUACAUAGGCCCUGGUCGAAUAUAUAGGCCUUGCUUGUCUACAUAGGCCCUGGUUGUUUACAUAGGUUCUGGUUGUCUAAAUAGGCCUUGGUUGUCUACUCAUAGGCCCUGGUUGUUUA
Eriocheir sinensis (Chinese mitten crab) is the source of this 1306-nucleotide long non-coding RNA. RefSeq lists it as uncharacterized. The record is from RefSeq and is a predicted model, not a curated record. Lineage: Eukaryota; Metazoa; Arthropoda; Malacostraca; Decapoda; Varunidae. The transcript has 4 exons.